GAUGAAGAACGCAGCGAAAUGCGAUAAGUAAUGUGAAUUGCAGAAUUCAGUGAAUCAUCGAAUCUUUGAACGCACAUUGCGCCCCCUGGUAUUCCGGGGGGCAUGCCUGUCCGAGCGUCAUUGCUGCCCUCAAGCACGGCUUGUGUGUUGGGCCUCCGUCCUCCUCCCAGGGGACGGGCCCGAAAGGCAGCGGCGGCACCGCGUCCGGUCCUCGAGCGUAUGGGGCUUCGUCACCCGCUCUUGUAGGCCCGGCCGGCGCUUGCCGACACAUCAAUCUUUUUUCCAGGUUGACCUCGGAUCAGGUAGGGAUACCCGCUGAACUUAAGCAUAUCAAUAAGCGGAGGA
RNAcentral lists this unclassified non-coding RNA (345 nucleotides) under soil metagenome. RNAcentral's name for it is "partial contains 5.8S ribosomal RNA, internal transcribed spacer 2, and large subunit ribosomal RNA". The stretch from base 1 to 120 matches the Rfam family "5.8S ribosomal RNA", at positions 35 to 154 of the family's 154-position model. The record is from RNAcentral.